ACCCAUAGGACCUUGAAUUGCUUUUCGGUACGAUCAGUGUUUUCCAGAAUCGUUGACGUGACUAGUAUAUUCUCGCUCCUUCUGUUCCCUGGACUUCACUCUCCCUGGCUUAUCAGAUACCGAGUGGCUGCCCAGAAAGAGUGAGUAUCUGACCAGGAAGCUAGU
This 165-nucleotide ribosomal RNA is filed under the name Plasmodium cynomolgi. RNAcentral describes it as "partial 18S ribosomal RNA". Lineage: Eukaryota; Apicomplexa; Aconoidasida; Haemosporida; Plasmodiidae. The record is from RNAcentral.